UACCGUUUCAAUAUCUUCUUA
This 21-nucleotide non-coding RNA is filed under the name Caenorhabditis elegans. Lineage: Eukaryota; Metazoa; Nematoda; Chromadorea; Rhabditida; Rhabditidae. The record is from RNAcentral.